CCUACGGGUGGCAGCAGUCGAGAAUCAUUCACAAUGGGGGAAACCCUGAUGGUGCGACGCCGCGUGGGGGAAUGAAGGUCUUCGGAUUGUAAACCCCUUUCAUGUGGGAGCAAAUUAAGAAGAUAGUACCACAAGAGGAAGAGACGGCUAACUCUGUCCCAGCAGCCGCGGUAAGACAGAGGUGUCAAGCGUUGUUCGGAAUCACUGGGCGUAAAGGGUGCGUAGGCGGUUUCGUAAGUCGUGUGUGAAAGGCGCGGGCUCAACCCGCGGACGGCACAUGAUACUGCGAGACUAGAGUAAUGGAGGGGGAAGCGGAAUUCUCGGUGUAGCAGUGAAAUGCGUAGAGAUCGAGAAGAACACUCGUGGCGAAGGCGGGUUCCUGGACAUUAACUGACGCUGAGGCACGAAGGCCAGGGGAGCGAAAGGGAUUAGAUACCCGGGUAGUC
This 446-nucleotide ribosomal RNA is filed under the name uncultured bacterium. RNAcentral describes it as "partial 16S ribosomal RNA". It matches the Rfam family "Bacterial small subunit ribosomal RNA", at positions 338 to 795 of the family's 1533-position model. The record is from RNAcentral.